UAGCCUGGAAACUCCACAAGAGCAAGAAU
This 29-nucleotide non-coding RNA is filed under the name Homo sapiens (human). Lineage: Eukaryota; Metazoa; Chordata; Mammalia; Primates; Hominidae. The record is from RNAcentral.